CCUACGGGUGGCAGCAGUGGGGAAUAUUGGACAAUGGGGGCAACCCUGAUCCAGCCAUGCCGCGUGAGUGAUGAAGGCCCUAGGGUUGUAAAGCUCUUUUGUGCGGGAAGAUAAUGACGGUACCGCAAGAAUAAGCCCCGGCUAACUUCGUGCCAGCAGCCGCGGUAAUACGAAGGGGGCUAGCGUUGCUCGGAAUCACUGGGCGUAAAGGGUGCGUAGGCGGGUUUUUAAGUCAGAGGUGAAAUCCUGGAGCUCAACUCCAGAACUGCCUUUGAUACUGGAAAUCUUGAGUAUGGGAGAGGUGAGUGGAACUGCGAGUGUAGAGGUGAAAUUCGUAGAUAUUCGCAAGAACACCAGUGGCGAAGGCGGCUCACUGGCCCAUAACUGACGCUGAGGCACGAAAGCGUGGGGAGCAAACAGGAUUAGAUACCCGAGUAGUC
Molecule: ribosomal RNA, 440 nt
Filed under: uncultured bacterium
Lineage: Bacteria
Description: bacterial SSU rRNA
Rfam family: Bacterial small subunit ribosomal RNA
Source: RNAcentral